RNAcentral lists this ribosomal RNA (905 nucleotides) under Arthroderma vespertilii. RNAcentral describes it as "LSU rRNA". It matches the Rfam family "Eukaryotic large subunit ribosomal RNA", at positions 38 to 962 of the family's 3401-position model. The record is from RNAcentral. Lineage: Eukaryota; Fungi; Ascomycota; Eurotiomycetes; Onygenales; Arthrodermataceae.
GCAUAUCAAUAAGCGGAGGAAAAGAAACCAACAGGGAUUGCCCCAGUAACGGCGAGUGAAGCGGCAAAAGCUCAAAUUUGAAAUCUGGCUCCUCUGGGGUCCGAGUUGUAAUUUGUAGAGGAUGCUUCGGGUGUGGCCACGGCCUAAGUUCCUUGGAACAGGACGUCAUAGAGGGUGAGAAUCCCGUCUUGGGCGGUUGGCCCACGCCCGUGUGAAGCUCCUUCGACGAGUCGAGUUGUUUGGGAAUGCAGCUCUAAGCGGGUGGUAAAUUUCAUCUAAAGCUAAAUAUUGGCCGGAGACCGAUAGCGCACAAGUAGAGUGAUCGAAAGGUUAAAAGCACCUUGAAAAGGGAGUUAAACAGCACGUGAAAUUGUUGAAAGGGAAGCGCUUGCGGCCAGACUCGGGCGCGAGGUUCAGCGGGUGCGUGUCACCCGUGCACUCCUCGCCGCCCGGGCCAGCAUCAGUUCUGACGGCCGGUCAAAGGCCCCCGGAAUGUGUCGUCUCUAGGGACGUCUUAUAGCCGGGGGUGCAAUGCGGCCCGUCGGGACUGAGGAACGCGCUUCGGCUCGGAUGCUGGCGUAAUGGCCGUAAGCGGCCCGUCUUGAAACACGGACCAAGGAGUCUAACAUCCACGCGAGUGUUCGGGUGUCAAACCCGUGCGCGCAGUGAAAGCGAACGGAGGUGGGAGCCUUAGGGCGCACCAUCGACCGAUCCUGAAGUCUUCGGAUGGAUUUGAGUAGGAGCGUGGCCGUUGGGACCCGAAAGAUGGUGAACUAUGCCUGAAUAGGGGGAAGCCAGAGGAAACUCUGGUGGAGGCUCGCAGCGGUUCUGACGUGCAAAUCGAUCGUCAAAUUUGGGCAUAGGGGCGAAAGACUAAUCGAACCAUCUAGUAGCUGGUUCCUGCG